Molecule: long non-coding RNA, 461 nt
Filed under: Elaeis guineensis (African oil palm)
Lineage: Eukaryota; Viridiplantae; Streptophyta; Magnoliopsida; Arecales; Arecaceae
Description: long non-coding RNA (EGUI_LNC067821)
Source: RNAcentral
UCCCCGACCUCGACUGCGGAAAGGCUUCACCCGGACUCCUACGGGAGCCGGGCUCCACCCAUGCCUUCGCUCACAGGUAAACUUCAUCUGGACUCCUAAGGGAGCCGGACUUCAUCCCUGACUUCGAUUGCAGGUAGACUCAGCCCGGACUCCUACGGGAGCCGGAUCUCAUCCCCGACCUCGACUGCGGAAAGGCUUCAUCCGAACUCCUAUGGGAGCCGGGCUCCACCCACGCCUUUACUCACAGGUAAACUUCAUCCGGACUCCUAAGGGAGCCGGACUUCGCCCCUGACUUUGAUUGCAGGUAGACUUCACCCGGGCUCCUACGGGAGCCAGAUCUCGUCUCCAGCUCCAGCUGCGGGAAAACUUCAUCCAAGCUCCAACGAGAGCCGGGCCUCGUUUUCAAUUCUGACUGCGUAAGGACUUCGCCCGGACUCCUACGGGAGCCGGGCUCCACCCAC